AGAGUGAAGAUGAUCCUACUGGGACACCAGGCGCCCCACUGAUGGCCUGGGUUGAUUUUACUGAUCGAAUCAGCUGAGUAGGUGUCUACCUCCCUCCUCACCUUUCUACAUGUGUCCUUCCUGGGGCUGCAUGUCAAGUCAGAGAGAAGAAGAGCCUUCCCAGAUAGAGCAUUGUUCUUUGACCAAAGGUGUGUGAUGACUUUGUCUGUUAUCUGGCAUUCUAAGAGAAUAUGGUGUUCUGG
Molecule: small nuclear RNA, 242 nt
Filed under: Theropithecus gelada (gelada)
Lineage: Eukaryota; Metazoa; Chordata; Mammalia; Primates; Cercopithecidae
Description: 7SK RNA (ENSTGEG00000010681.1)
Rfam family: 7SK RNA (bases 1-199)
About the family: 7SK was discovered as an abundant small nuclear RNA in the mid-70s but a possible function has only recently been suggested. Two independent studies have found that 7SK RNA binds the CDK9/cyclin T complex (known as elongation factor P-TEFb). P-TEFb activates transcription by phosphorylating the C-terminal domain of RNA polymerase II.
Source: RNAcentral